Molecule: ribosomal RNA, 443 nt
Filed under: uncultured bacterium
Lineage: Bacteria
Description: partial 16S ribosomal RNA
Rfam family: Bacterial small subunit ribosomal RNA
Source: RNAcentral
CCUACGGGUGGCAGCAGUAGGGAAUAUUGGACAAUGGGCGCAAGCCUGACCCAGCAACGCCGCGUGAAGGAAGAAGGCUUUCGGGUUGUAAACUUCUGUUCUCAGGGACGAAGCAAGUGACGGUACCUGAGGAAUAAGCCACGGCUAACUACGUGCCAGCAGCUGCGGUAAUACGUAGGAGGCAAGCGUUAUCCGGAUUUACUGGGUGUAAAGGGCGUGUAGGCGGGGACGCAAGUCAGAUGUGAAAACCACGGGCUCAACCUGUGGCCUGCAUUUGAAACUGUGUUUCUUGAGUACUGGAGAGGCAGACGGAACUCCUAGUGUAGCGGUGAAAUGCGUAGAUAUUAGGAGGAACACCAGUGGCGAAGGCGGUCCGCUGGACAGCAACUGACGCUGAGGCGCGAAAGCGUGGGGAGCAAACAGGAUUAGAUACCCGUGUAGUC